UGAUCGCAUGGUGUUCUGGGAAAGCCUUUGCGGCAUGGGAUGGGGUCGCGUCCUAUCAGCUUGAUGGCGGGGUAACGGCCCACCAUGGCUUCGACGGGUAGCCGGCCUGAGAGGGCGACCGGCCACAUUGGGACUGAGAUACGGCCCAGACUCCUACGGGAGGCAGCAGUGGGGAAUAUUGCACAAUGGGCGCAAGCCUGAUGCAGCGACGCCGCGUGAGGGAUGGAGGCCUUCGGGUUGUAAACCUCUUUUGUUAGGGAGCAAGGCAUUUUGUGUUGAGUGUACCUUUCGAAUAAGCACCGGCUAACUACGUGCCAGCAGCCGCGGUAAUACGUAGGGUGCAAGCGUUAUCCGGAAUUAUUGGGCGUAAAGGGCUCGUAGGCGGUUCGUCGCGUCCGGUGUGAAAGUCCAUCGCUUAACGGUGGAUCCGCGCCGGGUACGGGCGGGCUUGAGUGCGGUAGGGGAGACUGGAAUUCCCGGUGUAACGGUGGAAUGUGUAGAUAUC
Molecule: ribosomal RNA, 505 nt
Filed under: Bifidobacterium breve
Lineage: Bacteria; Bacillati; Actinomycetota; Actinomycetes; Bifidobacteriales; Bifidobacteriaceae
Description: bacterial SSU rRNA
Rfam family: Bacterial small subunit ribosomal RNA
Source: RNAcentral